This 849-nucleotide long non-coding RNA is filed under the name Mus pahari (shrew mouse). RNAcentral's name for it is "predicted gene 13583 (MGP_PahariEiJ_G0003284.1)". Lineage: Eukaryota; Metazoa; Chordata; Mammalia; Rodentia; Muridae. The record is from RNAcentral.
AGAGACUGGGUCCUGAGUUGCUCCUUCCAGACACUGAUUGUUCCCUUGGCUUUCUUUACAUGCUUGCUGUGGGUCCUACUGUCUGUGGGUUAGUGCUCAAACCUGUGCUCAAUGUAUCAGCUUGUACACGUGUCUGGGGCUGUGCAACUUAAUUGUCAGUGGUUCCAUGACUAUCAUAGAUCCAUUGUUCAGCCUAGAGAAACCGAGGAGCAGAAGGUAGCUAGCGUCUGGACAAAUCCCAUUGGUGUCCACCCCACUGAGCGAUUGACCUCAGUGUCCCGCCUCCCCAAGGGGCGUAGCAGACAGGCCUGUUUGGGGGUUAUCUGUAGAGUGUGUAGAUCCAACUUCUCCCUUUGGAAGGUCCCACAAUCCUGGAAGGCAAGUCCCUGCCCCUUACCUCGUCCUAAUUUGGAGGACAAGAGAAUGUGCGUGGAAGGAACCCUCCCAUCUGCCCCAGGACACUACACAAGCAACCACAAUAUAAACUAGGCCUUGCUCUUAUUUGUCUUGCUCAAAUCCUACCCGUUUCCCACCCCGAGUCCCGGGUUCCAAUCUGCCCCCACUUCGGCGCUGCGGACACUCACCACGCCACUCGAGGGUCGGUUCCUGGGUGUGAGUCAAAUCUUGGGCGCUGCCCCGGUGAACCCCCAGCAGCAGCAGCUGCAGCCAGAGCAGCUGCAGCAUCGCUAACCACUGCACCAUCAGGUACGCUAGGUGACACCCACGGGGACCAGAACCGUGUCCCCUGCUCUGGACUAGACUGCAGGAGGCAAGAAGAGAAGCUACCACUCUUCUCGAGGACCUCGCCACCCUGGAGCCCUGGGGAUGAACUCGCCUCCCUUGUCGCCA